RNAcentral lists this long non-coding RNA (223 nucleotides) under Malus domestica (apple). RNAcentral's name for it is "long non-coding RNA (MDOM_LNC018461)". Lineage: Eukaryota; Viridiplantae; Streptophyta; Magnoliopsida; Rosales; Rosaceae. The record is from RNAcentral.
GGGAGUUAAUCAUGUUCCUAAAAUUUAAAUAUAUAUGAUAUAUUAAUUUUGGAAAUGAAAAGAAUACUUCUCCAUUAAAGUUAUGACUUUAAUACAUUAUAUGAAGAUAGAAUGUAUAUGGAAGUUAAUCAUGUUCCUAAAAUUUAAAUAUAUAUAUAUGAUAUAUUAAUUUUGGAAAUGAAAAGAAUACUUCUUCGUUAAAGUUAUGACUUUAAAACAUUAU